UGUAACGUGCAGCACGGACUUCCUGUGCUAGAUUCGAGGGAGAGGGGAGAGGGAGAAAAGGAUCGGAACGUGCCCGGGGGAGGGGGACCCUAGUCGAAAGAUUAACUAAUACCGCAUUCUACCUGAGGGUGAGGGAGGGGGACCGCUUGGGCUCUUGCUAUGGGAGCGGUCGAUGUCUGAUUAUGUAGUGGGUGGGGUAAAGGCCCACCACGGCGACGAUCUGGUCUUGGACUGAGACGACGAUCACCCACACUGGGACUGAGACACGACCCCUACUCCUACGGGAGGCGGGGAAUUUUAAUUUUGGACAAUGACCCUGAUCCUGAUCCGCCAAUGCCGUGUGUGUGAACCUCGCCUUCUGGAUGUCAAGCACUUUUGUCCGGAAAGAAAUGGCUCUGAUUAAUUUCUGGUGUCGAUGACUGUACCGUAAGAACAGGGACCGGCUAACUACGUGCCCGCGGCCGCGCUAAUACGUAGGGCCCAAGCGUUAAUCACAAUUACUGAACGUAAAGCGUGCGCAGGCGGUUGUGCGAGACCGAUGUGAAAUCCCCGAGCUUAACUUGGCAAUUGCAUUGGUGACUGUACGGCUAGAGUGAGGGGGAGGGAGUUCCAAUUCCACGUGUGACAGUGAUAUGCGAUAUAGAUGAAUACGAAUACCGAUGGCGAAGCCAGCCCCUUGGAUUACCAUGGACGUUCAUCCAGAAAAGGUUGGGAGCCAACCAGGUUUGAUACCCUGGUAGUUCCCGCCCUUAAAGAAGUUAAAUUAGUGGUGGGGAUUCAUUUCUUUUGUUAAGUAAGUUACGGGUGAAAGUGGACCCCUGGGGGAGUCCGGUGCCAGGAUUAAAAUUCAAAGAAAUGGCGGGGGACCCCCCCAACCGUUGAAUAAUGGGGAUAAUUUGAAGCCAACGGAAAAACCAUAACUACCCCUGGCCAUGCCAUGAAUAAGCAAAGAAGCUUUGAGUGCUCGAAAGAGAAAGUGCACACAGGUGCUGCAUGGCUGUCGUCAGCUCGUGUCGUGAGAUGUUGGGUUAAGUCCCGCAACGAGCGCAACCCUUGUCUUUAGUUGCUACGAAAGGGCACUCUAAAGAGACUGCCGGUGACAAACCGGAGGAAGGUGGGGAUGACGUCAAGUCCUCAUGGCCCUUAUGGGUAGGGCUUCACACGUCAUACAAUGGUGCAUACAGAGGGUUGCCAAGCCGCGAGGGGGAGCUAAUCCCAGAAAAUGCAUCGUAGUCCGGAUUGUAGUCUGCAACUCGACUACAUGAAGCUGGAAUCGCUAGUAAUCGCGGAUCAGCAUGCCGCGGUGAAUACGUUCCCGGGUCUUGUACACACCGCCCGUCACACCAUGGGAGCGGGUUCUGCCAGAAGUAGUUAGCUUAAGGGUUACCAUGUUACGACAUAUUGGAGACCCGACUCCA
This 1418-nucleotide ribosomal RNA is filed under the name Ralstonia sp. RNAcentral describes it as "bacterial SSU rRNA". It matches the Rfam family "Bacterial small subunit ribosomal RNA". Lineage: Bacteria; Pseudomonadati; Pseudomonadota; Betaproteobacteria; Burkholderiales; Burkholderiaceae. The record is from RNAcentral.